UUGGAAUAGUCUUGGAAUUUUGCUUACUCA
This 30-nucleotide non-coding RNA is filed under the name Mus musculus (house mouse). Lineage: Eukaryota; Metazoa; Chordata; Mammalia; Rodentia; Muridae. The record is from RNAcentral.